CAGUCGCCGCGGGAAUACGUAGGGUGCGAGCGUUAAUCGGAAUUACUGGGCGUAAAGCGUGCGCAGGCGGUUCGUUAAGACAGAUGUGAAAUCCCCGGGCUUAACCUGGGAACUGCAUUUGUGACUGGCGAGCUAGAGUAUGGCAGAGGGGGGUAGAAUUCCACGUGUAGCAGUGAAAUGCGUAGAGAUGUGGAGGAAUACCGAUGGCGAAGGCAGCCCCCUGGGCCAAUACUGACGCUCAUGCACGAAAGCGUGGGGAGCAAACAGGAUUAGAUACCCCUGUAGUCCCUGUCUCUUAUAA
This 301-nucleotide ribosomal RNA is filed under the name uncultured bacterium. RNAcentral describes it as "partial 16S ribosomal RNA". It matches the Rfam family "Bacterial small subunit ribosomal RNA", at positions 509 to 809 of the family's 1533-position model. The record is from RNAcentral.